RNAcentral lists this unclassified non-coding RNA (192 nucleotides) under plant metagenome. Its description in RNAcentral is "partial contains small subunit ribosomal RNA, internal transcribed spacer 1, and 5.8S ribosomal RNA". The record is from RNAcentral.
UUUCCGUAGGUGAACCUGCGGAAGGAUCAUUAACGAGUGAAAAUCUUCGGGAAUUUAUUAUCCAAACACCUGUGCAAAUUAAUUUUGGCUUUGGGAAUUUAAUUAUUCACAACAAUCAAAACCACUAAGAGGGCUUAAGUCUGUUUGAUUAUUCAAAAAUCAAAACUUUCAACAACGGAUCUCUUGGUUAUC